GAGUGGCGAAUGGGUGCGUAACACGUAGGUGACCUGCCCGGAAGUGGGGAAUAACAGUUCGAAAGGACUGCUAAUACCGCAUGCGGUGCGCGGUUCGAGACCCGCGUUCCAAAGGUGCUCGCAAGAGUGCCGCUUUCGGAGGGGCCUGCGGCCCAUCAGCUAGUUGGUAGGGUAACGGCCUACCAAGGCAACGACGGGUAGGGGACCUGAGAGGGUGACCCCCCACACUGGCACUGACACACGGGCCAGACUCCUACGGGAGGCAGCAGUCGGGAAUAUUGCCCAAUGGACGAAAGUCUGAGGCAGCAACGCCGCGUGCGCGAUGAAGGCCUUCGGGUCGUAAAGCGCUUUUCGGGUGGAUGAGAGCGGACAGUACACCCGGAAUCAGGUACGGCUAACUACGUGCCAGCAGCCGCGGUAAAACGUAGGUACCGAGCGUUAUCCGGAUUUACUGGGCGUAAAGCGCGUUCAGGCGGUACGGCAAGUCGGGCAUGAAAUCUCUCGGCUCAACCGGGAGAGGUUGUCCGAUACUGUCGAACUCGAGGGCAGUAGAGGGUGGUGGAAUUCCGGGUGUAGUGGUGAAAUGCGUAGAGAUCCGGAGGAACACCAGUGGCGAAAGCGGCCACCUGGACUGCACC
RNAcentral lists this ribosomal RNA (638 nucleotides) under uncultured bacterium. RNAcentral's name for it is "bacterial SSU rRNA". It matches the Rfam family "Bacterial small subunit ribosomal RNA", at positions 93 to 740 of the family's 1533-position model. The record is from RNAcentral.